Molecule: ribosomal RNA, 467 nt
Filed under: uncultured bacterium
Lineage: Bacteria
Description: partial 16S ribosomal RNA
Rfam family: Bacterial small subunit ribosomal RNA
Source: RNAcentral
UUCCAGACUCCUACGGGAGGCAGCAGUGAGGAAUAUUGGUCAAUGGGCGGAAGCCUGAACCAGCCAAGUCGCGUGAGGGAAGAAGGCCCUGCGGGUCGCAGACCUCUUUGGACGGGGAGCAAGGCCGCCGACGUGUCGGCGGAAGGAGAGUACCCGUAGAACAAGCAUCGGCUAACUACGUGCCAGCAGCCGCGGUAAUACGUAGGUGGCAAGCGUUGUCCGGAUUUACUGGGUGUAAAGGGCGUGUAGCCGGGCCGGCAAGUCAGAUGUGAAAUCCCAAGGCUCAACCUUGGAACUGCAUUUGAAACUGUUGGUCUUGAGUAUCGGAGAGGCAGGCGGAAUUCCUAGUGUAGCGGUGAAAUGCGUAGAUAUUAGGAGGAACACCAGUGGCGAAGGCGGCCUGCUGGACGACAACUGACGGUGAGGCGCGAAAGCGUGGGGAGCAAACAGGAUUAGAUACCCGCGUA